UACGUAGGGGGCAAGCGUUGUCCGGAUUUACUGGGUGUAAAGGGAGCGCAGACGGCAGUGCAAGUCUGGAGUGAAAGCCCGGGGCCCAACCCCGGAACUGCUCUGGAAACUGUGCGGCUAGAGUACUGGAGGGGCAGGCGGAAUUCCUAGUGUAGCGGUGAAAUGCGUAGAUAUUAGGAGGAACACCGGUGGCGAAGGCGGCCUGCUGGACUGUGACUGACGUUGAGGCCCGAAGGCGUGGGGAGCAAACAGG
This 253-nucleotide ribosomal RNA is filed under the name uncultured bacterium. RNAcentral describes it as "partial 16S ribosomal RNA". It matches the Rfam family "Bacterial small subunit ribosomal RNA", at positions 524 to 776 of the family's 1533-position model. The record is from RNAcentral.